GUGCCAGCAGCCGCGGUAAUACGUAGGGCGCGAGCGUUGUCCGGAUUUAUUGGGCGUAAAGAGCUCGUAGGUGGUUUGUCGCGUCUGCCGUGAAAGCCUGUGGCUUAACUGUGGGUUUGCGGUGGAUACGGGCAUAACUUGAGGCAGGUAGGGGAGAAUGGAAUUCCCGGUGUAGCGGUGAAAUGCGCAGAUAUCGGGAGGAACACCGGUGGCGAAGGCGGUUCUCUGGGCCUUGCCUGACACUGAGGAGCGAAAGCGUGGGGAGCGAACAGGAUUAGAUACCCCCGUAGUCC
Molecule: ribosomal RNA, 293 nt
Filed under: uncultured bacterium
Lineage: Bacteria
Description: partial 16S ribosomal RNA
Rfam family: Bacterial small subunit ribosomal RNA
Source: RNAcentral